This 468-nucleotide ribosomal RNA is filed under the name uncultured bacterium. RNAcentral's name for it is "partial 16S ribosomal RNA". It matches the Rfam family "Bacterial small subunit ribosomal RNA", at positions 28 to 507 of the family's 1533-position model. The record is from RNAcentral.
GACGAACGCUGGCGGCGUGCUUAACACAUGUAAGUCGAACGGAAAGGCCCUGCUUUUGUGGGGUGCUCGAGUGGCGAAAGGGUGAGUAACACGUGAGUAACCUGCCCUUUACUUUGGGAUAACUUCAGGAAACUGGGGCUAAUACCGGAUAGGAGCUCCUGCUGCAUGGUGGGGGUUGGAAAGUUUCGGCGGUUGGGGAUGGACUCGCGGCUUAUCAGCUUGUUGGUGGGGUAGUGGCUUACCAAGGCUUUGACGGGUAGCCGGCCUGAGAGGGUGACCGGCCACAUUGGGACUGAGAUACGGCCCAGACUCCUACGGGAGGCAGCAGUGGGGAAUAUUGCACAAUGGGCGGAAGCCUGAUGCAGCAACGCCGCGGGCGGGAUGACGGCCUUCGGGUUGUAAACCGCUUUCGCCUGUGACGAAGCGUGAGUGACGGUAAUGGGUAAAGAAGCACCGGCUAACUACGUG